Molecule: ribosomal RNA, 250 nt
Filed under: uncultured bacterium
Lineage: Bacteria
Description: partial 16S ribosomal RNA
Rfam family: Bacterial small subunit ribosomal RNA
Source: RNAcentral
AACGUAGGAGGCGAGCGUUAUCCGGAUUCACUGGGCGUAAAGCGCGUGCAGGUGGCUUGGUAAGUUAGGCGUGAAAUCUCCCGGCUCAACUGGGAGAGGUCGUCUAAUACUACCGGGCUUGAGAGCAGAAGAGGAAGAUGGAAUUCCCGGUGUAGUGGUGAAAUGCGUAGAUAUCGGGAGGAACACCAGUGGCGAAGGCGAUCUUCUGGUCUGUUUCUGACACUCAGACGCGACAGCUAGGGUAGUAAAC